Molecule: ribosomal RNA, 253 nt
Filed under: uncultured bacterium
Lineage: Bacteria
Description: partial 16S ribosomal RNA
Rfam family: Bacterial small subunit ribosomal RNA
Source: RNAcentral
UACAGAGGCCACGAGCGUUAGUCGGAAUCACUGGGCUUAAAGGGUGCGUAGGCGGGCGUGUAAGCGUCCUGUGAAAGCCCGCGGCUCAACCGCGGAACAGCAGGGCGAACUGCACGUCUUGAGGCAGGUAAGGGUCGCUGGAACUCUAGGUGGAGCGGUGAAAUGCGUAGAUAUCUAGAGGAACGCCGAUGGUGAAGACGAGCGACUGGGCCUGUCCUGACGCUGAGGCACGAAAGCGUGGGGAGCAAACAGG